Molecule: long non-coding RNA, 2104 nt
Filed under: Selaginella moellendorffii
Lineage: Eukaryota; Viridiplantae; Streptophyta; Lycopodiopsida; Selaginellales; Selaginellaceae
Description: long non-coding RNA (SMOE_LNC000245)
Source: RNAcentral
GUGUUCAUACAGAUCUAUAGCAAUAGUUCCUGAGUUCUUUCAUUUUCAUGGCAGAAAACCUCGUUCACGGAUGCUAGCAAUGGUGUCAAAGAGAGUUUGUUCAUAAGGUAUGAAUCCUCCAAUUAGCUCUGUAGUUUUCUUGUUCCCAAUCUUCUCGGGGGGGAUUCCAUCGUAUCUUCCGGCAUGAGGAAUUCCAACGCUCGUUUCAGGAACACCCCUACCCAUACAAAUCUCAUUACGCUUUGAACAAAACUGAACAAAAAGGAAUGAAAGUAAACUCACUCGUGGGCACAGCAGCGAAGCUGGGGGAACUUUUCCUUGACCGAUUUCAGGACGUCUCUGUGGGAAACGCUCAGUGCAACGCAAAAGUAGCGCCCCAAAGCAGCCUCGUUCUCGACUGCCAAAAUGUGAGCUUUUGCAACAUCUCUCACGUCCAUGAGAGAAAUGUAAGAAUUUGGCGAAGGAUUCCGGGAACCUGGAUUAUCACAAACAAGAUAAAUGUCUGUACGAGAAAACCAAGGAAACAACAGUCAAACCUUCUACAACUUCCUUGAGAUAUUCGCUGCUAGUGUUAAGGGUUUGUUGCAAGAGAGGACCAAACACGUAAACCGGGCACACCACAAUAAGUUUGAGCCCUUUCUCUUUGGCAAACUUCCAUGCCGUCUUCUCUGCCUCGGUCUUGGCAACCACGUACCACAGCUGCAAAACGAAGUCCAACGUACAAGAGUCAAGAGUCAAAUUAAGUCAAAAGCCAGUCCCAAUUACUUGCCUCGUUUUUGCGGCAGUGGUCAACGUUCGUCCAGCAGCGCUCAUCAACCACCUUGUCCUCGGGACGAUCCGGGUCAAAUAUGACCGCUGCGCCGGAGGAGGUCAUCACCACUCGCUUGAUCUUCUCGUAGUCGAGAGCAUCGGCUUUGAACAGCUUGAGCCUCUCCCCAGCUCCUGGGAGCUGCUUGAGAUUAUUCCACACUUCGCAUUGUUACCUGAUGUUCUAUGGAUCAAAGGUGAAAGGAAGUCUAUGCUUACUUGGGUCGCGCACGGUGCCGUGAACAGUAUAGCCUUUCUCCAGAAGCUGCUUUACAAUCCAAGAGGCAAUGAAACCCCCGGCUCCAGUCACACACACGACCUUCUUGCUUGCUUCCAUUGCCAUGCUCUUUGCUCUAUUUUGCUACUUAUUUUCUCUAUAGCUUGCGCUAUUUAUACACUCUAUGAAGUCUUCAGGAAUUUCCGCUUGCCUUCUGAGGAAGCAUCCUGGAGCACUGUGGCGUCGCAAAUGGAGCACUGUGGCGCCGUACUGUUUAACUUAAUUGGUAGAAUUUAAUGUUUUAUAGAUGGGGACGCUAUUAAUCGUGCUAUUUAACUUAUUUAUUGUGACUGAAUCAGAUGUCUCGGCUAGGUGAGGAUCGUGUUGAAGUUCCAACCCAAGAGGCAUCAGGAGGGGCAACAGGCAGUGAAGCCGAGGUCGGGGACAGAAGGCGUGGUGGUAACAGACCUGAAGGAGCUUAGUGAACGAAUGACUCAUGAGAUUAUCAAAACAGCUUAUUAUAAUCUGUCGGUCUCAUGCUCCACAAGACCCCGUAAACAGUUAAUGAAUGAGUUAAUAAUCUAUUGCACCUUUUGCAGCUGCUACACUAAUUUCAGGUGAGAAUUCAGUGUUAUGAAAUGCAAAAUGCGCUUUGAAGUUGCUGAUGGUACACAGAGGCGACAGUAGCAGCAAGGGAGGGUUCAAUUUUCAAUCUUCUCCUGCAUUUUUACUUCCCUCCAAAGACUAUCAAGCUCGGAACACGUCGCACUCCAGUAGGGCAUCCAACUCACUUGGACAAUUUAGCAAAAUAUAAGACCUGCGUUCUCUUUGAGUAAGCAAGAACUUAAACAAUACGCACAUUCAUUCAUUUUCGUUUUCAUACAGAUCUAUAGCAAUAGUCCUUGAGUUCUUUCAUUUUCAUGGCAGAAAACCUCGGUCACGGAUGCUAGCAAUGAUGUCAAAGAGAGUUUGUUCAUAAGGUAUGAAUCCUCCAAUUAGCUCUGUAGUUUUCUUGUUCCCAAUCUUCUCGGGGGGGAUUCCAUCGUAUCUUCCGGCAUGAGGAACUCCAAAGCUCGUUUC